RNAcentral lists this ribosomal RNA (481 nucleotides) under uncultured bacterium. RNAcentral's name for it is "partial 16S ribosomal RNA". It matches the Rfam family "Bacterial small subunit ribosomal RNA", at positions 28 to 523 of the family's 1533-position model. The record is from RNAcentral.
GACGAACGCUGGCGGCGUGCUUAACACAUGCAAGUCGAGCGGAAAGGCCACUUCGGUGGUACUCGAGCGGCGAACGGGUGAGUAACACGUGAGUAAUCUGCCCCUGGCUUUGGGAUAGCCACCGGAAACGGUGAUUAAUAACGGAUACGACCACUUCUCGCAUGGGAUGGUGGUGGAAAGUUUUUUCGGCCAGGGAUGUGCUCGCGGCCUAUCAGCUUGAUGGUGAGGUAAUGGCUCACGAUGGCUUCGCCGGGUAGCCGGCCGGGGAGGGUGGCCGGUCACACUGGGCCUGAGACACGGCCCAGACUCCUACGGGAGGCAGCAGUGGGGAAUAUUGGACAAUGGGCGGAAGCCUGAUCCAGCAACGCCGCGUGAGGGAUGACGGCCUUCGGGUUGUAAACCUCUUUCAGCAGGGACGAAGCGCAAGUGACGGUACCUGCAGAAGAAGCACCGGCCAACUACGUGCCAGCAGCCGCCGUAA